This 355-nucleotide unclassified non-coding RNA is filed under the name uncultured Acaulosporaceae. RNAcentral's name for it is "sequence contains ITS1". The stretch from base 1 to 105 matches the Rfam family "5.8S ribosomal RNA", at positions 50 to 154 of the family's 154-position model. Lineage: Eukaryota; Fungi; Glomeromycota; Glomeromycetes; Diversisporales; Acaulosporaceae. The record is from RNAcentral.
GAAAUGCGAUACGUAAUGUGAAUUGCAGAAUUCAGUGAAUCAUCGAAUCUUUGAACGCAUAUUGCACUCUCUGGUAUUCCGGAGAGUAUGCCUGUUUCAGUAUCAAUAAAACCUCGAACCCCUUCUCUCUCUCUUGGGCUUGGGAAGGAAAUCGGAAAUGGGUCAUUUUGAACACCUUUUUUUUUUGGUGUUCUAACCUGAAAUACAAUCGCGAUCUGGAGCCAUUUGGAAGGCGUCAUAGUUGGCCGUCAGGUCAUCUUUUGCCGAAAUCCUUUUGUGUUCCAUAUUGAUUGCGCGCCACAUUUUUUUUUUUUAAAUUGAUCUGAAAUCAGGUAGGAUUACCCGCUGAACUUAA